AGUCGUAACAAGGUAACCGUAGGUGAACCUGCGGUUGGAUCAUUACUGAUUUAGAGUCGAGCCUGUCCCUCUCGGGGUUGACGGGCAAGACUACUGACCCCUUGUGCAACCAAAUUGUUUUUUGGGUGGAGAUUCAUCGAGUCUGCACCCAGCAGUUACAAACCACUGUAUAAUUUGUCUGAAACUAAGAGAAAAAUCGAAACAACUUUUGACAACGGAUCUCUUGGCUCUC
This 232-nucleotide unclassified non-coding RNA is filed under the name fungal sp. RNAcentral describes it as "partial internal transcribed spacer region". The stretch from base 1 to 45 matches the Rfam family "Eukaryotic small subunit ribosomal RNA", at positions 1787 to 1831 of the family's 1831-position model. Lineage: Eukaryota; Fungi. The record is from RNAcentral.